RNAcentral lists this ribosomal RNA (253 nucleotides) under uncultured bacterium. RNAcentral describes it as "partial 16S ribosomal RNA". It matches the Rfam family "Bacterial small subunit ribosomal RNA", at positions 524 to 776 of the family's 1533-position model. The record is from RNAcentral.
UACGUAGGGUGCAAGCGUUGUCCGGAAUUAUUGGGCGUAAAGAGCUCGUAGGCGGUUUGUCGCGUCUGCUGUGAAAACUCGGGGCUUAACUCCGGGCCUGCAGUGGGUACGGGCAGACUAGAGUGCGGUAGGGGAGAUCGGAAUUCCUGGUGUAGCGGUGAAAUGCGCAGAUAUCAGGAGGAACACCGGUGGCGAAGGCGGGUCUCUGGGCCGAUACUGACGCUGAGGAGCGAAAGCGUGGGGAGCGAACAGG